RNAcentral lists this ribosomal RNA (493 nucleotides) under uncultured bacterium. RNAcentral describes it as "partial 16S ribosomal RNA". It matches the Rfam family "Bacterial small subunit ribosomal RNA", at positions 28 to 506 of the family's 1533-position model. The record is from RNAcentral.
GACGAACGCUGGCGGCGUGCUUAACACAUGCAAGUCGAACGGAAAGGCCUGCUUUCCCUUGUGGAUUGCGGGUACUCGAGUGGCGAACGGGUGAGUAACACGUGAGUGAUCUGCCCCCAACUUGGGUAUAAGCCUGGGAAACUGGGUCUAAUUCCCGAUAGGACUGCAGGGCGGUGCCUGUGGUGGAAAACGAUUUUCUAGUGGUUGGGGAUGAGCUCGCGGCCUAUCAGCUUGUUGGUGGGGUAAUGGCCUACCAAGGCGGCGACGGGUAGCCGGCCUGAGAGGGUGGACGGCCACAUUGGGACUGAGAUACGGCCCAGACUCCUACGGGAGGCAGCAGUGGGGAAUAUUGCACAAUGGGCGGAAGCCUGAUGCAGCGACGCCGCGUGGGGGAUGACGGCCUUCGGGUUGUAAACUCCUUUCGACCGCGAGGAAGCCACCUGGUUGGAAGGGUGGUGACGGUAGUGGUAGAAGAAGCACCGGCUAACUACGU